RNAcentral lists this ribosomal RNA (537 nucleotides) under uncultured Dysgonomonas sp. RNAcentral's name for it is "bacterial SSU rRNA". It matches the Rfam family "Bacterial small subunit ribosomal RNA", at positions 505 to 1044 of the family's 1533-position model. The record is from RNAcentral. Lineage: Bacteria; Pseudomonadati; Bacteroidota; Bacteroidia; Bacteroidales; Dysgonomonadaceae.
GUGUCAGCCACCGCGGUAAUACGGAGGAUGCGAGCGUUAUCCGGAUUUAUUGGGUUUAAAGGGUGCGCAGGCGGGAUUUUAAGUCAGCGGUGAAAUUUUCAGGCUCAACCUGAACACUGCCGUUGAAACUGGGAUUCUUGAGUAUGGAUGAAGUAGGCGGAAUUCGUUGUGUAGCGGUGACAUGCUUAGAUAUAACGAGGAACUCCGAUUGCGUAGGCAGCUUACUAAGCCAUAACUGACGCUCAAGCACGAAAGCGUGGGGAUCAAACAGGAUUAGAUACCCUGGUAGUCCACGCCGUAAACGAUGAUUACUAGUUGUUUGCGAUAUACCGUAAGUGACUAAGCGAAAGCGAUAAGUAAUCCACCUGGGGAGUACGCCGGCAACGGUGAAACUCAAAGGAAUUGACGGGGGCCCGCACAAGCGGAGGAACAUGUGGUUUAAUUCGAUGAUACGCGAGGAACCUUACCCGGGCUUGAAAUGUACCUGACCGUCCUUGAAAAGGGACUUACUAGCAAUAGCAGGUAUGUAGGUGCUGC